Molecule: ribosomal RNA, 383 nt
Filed under: uncultured Leptolinea sp.
Lineage: Bacteria; Bacillati; Chloroflexota; Anaerolineae; Anaerolineales; Anaerolineaceae
Description: bacterial SSU rRNA
Rfam family: Bacterial small subunit ribosomal RNA
Source: RNAcentral
GACAUGCAAGUGGUAGGAAGCCGAAGGUGACGACCCUUCGGGAGCUUGCACAGGUGCUGCAUGGCUGUCGUCAGCUCGUGUCGUGAGAUGUUCGGUUAAGUCCGCUAACGAGCGCAACCCUCGCUGUGUGUUAUAUGUGUCACACGGGACUGCCGGUCUUAAGCCGGAGGAAGGUGGGGAUGAUGUCAAGUCAGCAUGGCCUUUAUAUCCUGGGCUACACACACGCCACAAUGGCCAACACAAUAGGUUGCUAAGCCGCGAGGUGGCGCCAAUCCAUAAAGUUGGUCUCAGUUCAGAUUGUAGGCUGCAACCCGCCUGCAUGAAGAUGGAGUUGCUAGUAACCGCAGGUCAGCUAUACUGCGGUGAAUACGUUCCCGGGGCUU